RNA transcript from Larimichthys crocea (large yellow croaker), 2459 nucleotides. It is a transcript of the gene named branched chain ketoacid dehydrogenase kinase, with no coding region annotated. The transcript is spliced from 12 exons. NCBI's taxonomy places the organism in Eukaryota, Metazoa, Chordata, Actinopteri, Sciaenidae. The record is from RefSeq and is a predicted model, not a curated record.
GCAUAGGGGGCGCUGUUGGUGCGGUUUCGCUCCGCCUCUGGCCGGCUGAUUGGUUUAUCUGUGAUGUCGUGGAGGCAGCUCUCUCUGCCACUGGCCAAUGCGCACAAAGCCCUUUCUGUACCCUCUCUCUACUGUAUUCAGAUACGUGCCUUUGUGCACCAUUACGACGCGACCCCAAUGGCCUCGUAGCAACACUAAAAAUUUAGUGGUUGUACGGGAACAGGGCAGCCCUGUUCAGACACACAGCUCGUCUCCAAAUGCGACCGGGGCUGGCGGGUAUAGCAGUGGAGAUGCUGAGCGGUGCUACCUGCAGGGUCAGGCCGAGGCUCGGCAGCCUCUUGCUGGCCCCUCUCACCAAAACAGUACCGCUGAUGUCAAGCACAGGGAGCCAGAGAUUUCGCUCCACGUCCUCGAUGCAAGGCUUUUCAGAGCUGGCAAGAGAGCGGUCGAAGACUGUCACGUCGUUUUACAACCAGUCAGCAAUUGACGCUUCCGCAGAAAAGGCCUCAGUGCGACUGACCUUAGCCACCCUGCUGUAUUCUGGGAAGUCUCCCGAUGGACACCACAUCUUGAGCAGUGCCAAGUACCUACACAAGGAGCUACCUGUACGGAUCGCCCAUCGCAUCAAGGGCUUCCGCAGUUUGCCGUUCAUCAUCGGUUGCAACCCCACCAUUCUGCAAGUGCAUGAACUGUAUAUCAGGGCCUACCACAUGCUCAGUGACUUUCCUCCGAUCAAGGAUCAGGACGUGGAGGCUCGUUUCUGUAAGCUGGUGCAGCAGCUGCUCGACGAUCAUAAGGACGUGGUCACCAUGCUGGCCCAGGGCUUCAGGGAGUGUCGCAGACACAUCCAGGAUGAGACAAUCCUCCGCAGCUUCCUGGACACAACGCUGUGUUCCCGUCUGGGAAUCCGAAUGUUGGCCACACACCAUCUGGCCCUUCACGAAGAUAAUCCUGAUUUCGUUGGGAUUAUAUGCAGACGUCUGUCCCCCAAAAAGAUCAUAGAGAAGUGGGUGGACUUUGCCAGGCGUCUGUGCGAGCACCAGUAUGGGAACUCUCCCAGAGUGAGGAUCAACGGACACGUGGCAGCUCGAUUCCCCUUCAUCCCUCUGCCUCUGGAUUACAUCCUACCCGAGCUCCUCAAGAAUGCCAUGAGGGCCACCAUGGAAAGCCAUCUGGACACCCCAUACAACGUGCCUGAUGUGGUUGUCACUAUUGCCAACAACGACAUUGAUUUUGUCAUCAGGAUUUCAGAUCGCGGUGGCGGCAUCCCUCACAACAUCAUAGACAAGGUGAUGGAUUACCACUUCAGCACGGCUGAGGAGAGCGCACAGGAUCCCCGCAUGAGCAACUUCUUCAACAACAUUACCAACACUGGAAACCAGUCCAGCCCUAUGCAUGGGUUCGGCUUCGGGUUGCCCACAUCCAGGGCCUACGCUGAGUACCUCGGCGGCUCUCUCUCCGUACAGUCUAUGCAGGGCAUCGGCACCGACGUCUACCUGCGUCUGCGCCACAUCGACGGCAAAGGAGAGAGCUUCCGAGUGUAAAGAUUUUCCAUUGGUCACCAUUGUAGAGCCCAACCUAGGAAUCAGGCCAUGCAGGAGUACAGGGGAGCCAAGAAGGCUGGCAUGGACUACAGGACUUUGGUCCACAAAGUGAUAGCCUACACAAAGUCUGCUGCAGGCUGAGAAUUUCAUCUUCCAACACAGGUCUCCAAGACCUCUGAAGUAUUCAUUUAAGAAACACAAAUCCACGGACAUGAGACAAAGAAAGGUGCUCCCCGGCACUUGCUCGCUGUACACCUAAACUACAAGUGCACUUUUGUCUCAACUGAGAAGCAUAAAAUAUAAAUGAACAACUGAGCAACGCUUUGGUCAGUCAUCGUAUUUGGAAUGUGGUAACAGGUUGGUACAUUUUACUUUUUGACCUCAUCUAAGGCAGUGCCAACUCACCGUGUGUGUGUGUGUGUGUGUGUGUGUGUGUGUGUGUGUGUGUGUGUGUGUGUGUGUGUGUGUGUGUGUGUGUGUGUGUGUGUGUUUUGAUUCUUUUAGUUAACCCACACUCACAGAAAGGUCUCAGAUAUUUAGUAUGUGAACUGGAGGUCAUGCUGAUUACAACAUGCACUCUGUGACUCUUCUCAUUUCAUACUCUUCACCGUUUUGACCUUUUUUUUCCCCCAGAACCCUUUGGGCUGUUUAAACUUUAUUGAUUUAAACUCUGCAUCCGUUAUGACCUUAAGCUAAACAGCAGUUCAUAAAAGGCAAUGAUUCUGUAAGGCAGAACUAUAUUUGGACUGUAACACAUUCAUAUUUAAUCCAUUGAGCAGCAUGGGUAUGCAGACUCAACUGGUUUGACACCUUUUACAUUUACGGGGUCUUUGUAAAAGAUAGUAAAAGCUAUUCAAAGGAGGAACGUGACAAAACAGCUGAGGCUUGUCUGAGAUUUUGAACAUAAAAAAAAAA